UGCAUUGGCAGCUAUUCUACUAAUUCUGCAUACUGGUUAGUAAUGUAAUAAAUAAAUAAAUAUUACAAAAAUAAAUAAUUCAAAGGGUCAUGUGACUUCUUCGAUGAUAUAUGCACGUGACGUCACCAUAGUCACGGUCUCUUCACCCUUCAGCGUUUGUUUGAGUCAAGUGGAAACAACUUCAGAAUCUGAACUAAAAUGUUUUGUACUAAACUGAUUCGAUAAUAAUAACUUUGUUUUAGGCUGCAAUGAAUAAAGAAAGAAGCAGCUAACGGAUCUCUUUCUUUGGCGGGACAACUGGAAUCCAGGUAAAUUACCAAAACUUCCCAGAUAGUCCUGGCUGCUGGCCCUGCCGCUGCUGCUUACUAACAGAGUGUGGACAGCAGGGGAGGCUAGAGUACUCCUCCAGGGGGCUGGGACGCUUCCAGCUGGGUCGCUGAGGUGUGGAGCUCGCCUCGGGGUAAGCCUCUUGUACUUUCUUCAAGGGAAAAUUCCCCAUUUCUCCGUUUCCCAUCGGCUGGCUUGGACUUAAAUGACACACUUUAUUAGUUAAGAAGAAGACAAGCUCCAAAGGUCAACGGCUCAGUAAAACCCAGCUUUAACUUCGUAUUCCUAUCGUUUACUUUGCUUGUCAAAGGGAGGAAAUGAUGGAGUGAUGAUAUAAAUAUGGGGCUUGUUUGGAGAAGCAAAAGCCUUUCUCCUGCAAACAUAAACCACCAUGUUUUUCGGGAUGAUGGAAGACACACUUCUCAGCUGAUUAAACAUGCAAAAAGUCAUCGUUUUUUCCUUUUGCUUCUAUAAACAGAGAGCCGCCUGCCUUUCCAGAAUACAUAAGCACUGACGGAGAUUUAUACAAAGCAGCAAAAAUGUGUGUAACAACGGGGAAAUCCCCUUGAUUGGAUCAUUAAUACUGCUGACAAAAGGGUGUUGAAUUCAUUAUAUGACCAUAACAUGUGUAACAAGUGUUUGAAAGCUGCUCGAUAUAUGCAUUUGAUGCAUGAACCGAUUUCUGGAAAAAUCCAUUUUCGUACAUGACUGUGGGCGUUGUAAGGAGGAACAUCAGCUCAGCGUAGCGAUGAUGAUGUCCACUACCUUCAACCACAACAGACAGUGUAACACAUGGCGUGCAGCUGUGCAAAAGUGACAAUUUUUAACAUCAGUGUGCCUGCGCUGGGUCACGCUGUACUGAUGUUCCCCCUCAGGUGAAAAGCCAUGAGUCUUACUCAUGCUGCAGUUCAAAGCAGAACAGGUGGGGCCGUCACUGUGAUUCAACGUGGAGUCGUCCAGUGUCUCAUGUCCUGACAGAAUUUUACAUUCAAACAUGUGGAAAAGAGAUCCUCUGUUACUACGUAAAGAUUGAUAUACUUUAACAUGGUAGGAUAGAUAUAUGUCAAGCCCACUGAGCUAGUUAAUGUAAUAAACAGACGUACCCAUUACCUCUAGCCAUACGAUGCAGCAUCUGCCCCCAAUGACCUCCUUAAUUAAAUUAACUUCUCCUAAACUCAAGCUCUAAAGACAAAAUGUAUGAUAAAAAUUCAAACUGUUGGUGCUCCCUCUCUCAUUACAAAACAGUGAUGUAACUGUACAGUAUUGUAAAUACUGAAACUAGUUUUAUACACAGUCUAUGGUAAAUACUGGUUAGACAGCAGAUUGUCCUUCAAAAACUAUUGUUGAGCAACUUGCUCUUUCUCCUUUUUAAAACAUUAUACAAUCCACUGUACAGUAUUACUGGUGAAAUUAUCAUUGGAUACCAUUUACCACAGCAGCGUAUCUACAGUUUGUUUUCAUGUAUGAGGGGUUGCUGUCCAACGUUUACAUGUUUAAGAAUGUUUUUUUUUUAAUCUUUAUUAUUGAAUACAAAGCUAAUGACAGCAAAUUAUAACAUUAACGUUUUUAUGCAUCUACUGUCUGCAGAACACUGCACCCUCCCCUAUUUAGCAUUUAUAACCAGUUUAUAAACAUGCAGUACAUGGUUUAUAACACAAUGUCAUUGUAAGCAGAUAUGGACACAUUUUCAAGUGUGUAUCAAUGUACAGUGUUUGUCAACAAUUAUAACUUUUCCCAUGAGGACAUAUUUUUAAUAUAUUGUGAUUUAUUGUCUGUUUAUACAUCAGCCUCUACGUACUGUUGACUUAUAUUUGUAGACAAAUACAUUUAUAGAGUUUUAAACAUUCAAUGUUUUUAUACUGUUUAUCAAUUCUAGAUAGGGUUAAAGUGUCACAGACAUUUAUUCAUCUGAGGGACUUAAAGUUUUCCUUAAUGAUAUUUUUAAUAAUUUGUGAUAGUUUGAAUUUCUCUUUUAUGUGUAAUGGCCGUUUUAUGAGACUGUCUCAUGUCACGUGUGUUUUGUAAUUUGUUCUCAGUUCUCUCUUGGAAAAGAGUUCUUGAUUUUAAUAAGACCACCUAAAAAAAACAAAAAAAAAUAAAACUA
This is a long non-coding RNA of Sander lucioperca (pikeperch), 2431 nucleotides long. RefSeq lists it as uncharacterized. The transcript has 4 exons. The record is from RefSeq and is a predicted model, not a curated record. Lineage: Eukaryota; Metazoa; Chordata; Actinopteri; Perciformes; Percidae.